RNAcentral lists this ribosomal RNA (252 nucleotides) under uncultured bacterium. RNAcentral describes it as "partial 16S ribosomal RNA". It matches the Rfam family "Bacterial small subunit ribosomal RNA", at positions 524 to 776 of the family's 1533-position model. The record is from RNAcentral.
UACGUAGGUCCCGAGCGUUGUCCGGAUUUAUUGGGCGUAAAGCGAGCGCAGGUGGUUUAUUAAGUCUGGUGUAAAAGGCAGUGGCUCAACCAUUGUAUGCGUUGGAAACUGGUAGACUUGAGUGCAGGAGAGGAGAGUGGAAUUCCAUGUGUAGCGGUGAAAUGCGUAGAUAUAUGGGGGAACACCGGUGGCGAAAGCGGCUCUCUGGCCUGUAACUGACACUGAGGCUCGAAAGCGUGGGGAGCAAACAGG